ACCCUGCCUCCCCACGCCACCAUCACCCUUCCUCCGCCGGCGCCGCGACCCCCACCCCCACCGCCGGCGCGCGUCGCAAAAUCGGCGUGGCCGUCGACCUCUCCGACGAGAGCGCCUACGCGGUCCGCUGGGCCGUGCAGCACUACAUCCGCCCCGGCGACGCCGUGAUCCUGCUCCACGUCAGCGCUACCAACGUCCUCUUCGGCGCCGACUGGGGCUCCAUCGACCUCUCCAUCAACACCGACCCCAACUCCGACGAGGAUGCCGUCAGCGCCGUCAACAACAGCAACGACCACAACAGCAAGCGCAAGCUGGAGGACGACUUCGACGCCUUUACGGCGUCCAAGGCGGCGGAUCUCGCGAAACCGUUACGGGAAUUGCAGAUUCCGUUC
This 392-nucleotide long non-coding RNA is filed under the name Glycine max (soybean). RNAcentral's name for it is "long non-coding RNA (GMAX_LNC001315)". Lineage: Eukaryota; Viridiplantae; Streptophyta; Magnoliopsida; Fabales; Fabaceae. The record is from RNAcentral.